ACGACCUUUGUGCCGCUUUCGAAUCUGAUUCGUUGCUGCUGAACACAUGGGUAAAUUACCGACAUUUUGUUGACUGACUUGAACGACGAAGCACUUCCGAUGUGGGCACGUUUUUAUUUCGUCUGCAAUUGUUUGCAAUCGAUUAAGAGUUGGCGAGUAUUUGCUGUUAUCCUCUUAGCUGCUCUUCCUCUGCAGAAACUAAAUUUCGCAGUUAAAAUAUUAAUCCACUGACCAGAACAACCAAGGCGUAAAGAGACGAUCAAGCCACUAUAUCCUUUUGAUAUCCAUUCUGGCAGUUCAACCAUGAGGUCAGUUGACGGAUCUAGCUUGGAUGAGAAACACUCAUUUGCAUUUCAUUCGGAGUAGUCCGUCCCAUUCCUGUCCGUUCCGGCCCCUACACCUGGACAAUAGCUUGACGGCGGCUAAAGGAUAGCCUCAUAUUAGUCUCGUCUCUUCUCGGUACAGAUUGGAGCUUAAUAAUGACUCGUGCAGAUGGAGUAAUUGUAUCCGAAAUAGAGAGUCAAUGCUCCAGUGGACUUGAUCCAAGAACCAAACCCCCCUUUUAUUUCGGAUCACAAUAAAAGCAUCUCAUAAACCGAAUUGUCAUUAGAUUGGAUCGUCAAAAUUACUUUGUAGUACAUUGCAGUGUAUCGGUAAAAUUCUGUUCAGUGCUUAUCGGAAUGAAAUUUUCAACGCUCAUUGUUACUUUUAGGAUUAGAGUUAAUACUGCACUGCAUGGCUGAAUCACAGAAUACAUAUUCUUUAAAAAAAAGUAUCAAGCGCUAAAUUAAAAUAUAUCUGAAUUUUAAUGAACAUAAAACGACAUGAAACAUGAGACGAGUUUAUAUUUCAUGAAUUAGCAGCUUAUUCUUCCAAUGUACUGAAAUUAUUAAGAUUAUGAUAAUAUAUUAAGUGUAUAAUAAUAAUAACUAUGUAUAUGAUUUAAUGUAAAUAUAAUUAUAUAUAUAUAUUAAAAUUGAAGAGAAACAGUUAUAAUUGCCAUAUAAUACCACCAAUCGCUGAAACUGCUCCUGCACUGUCUGCAUGGUAAUUCCCCCUUGACGAAGCUGCCAUGUAUGUCAGUGCAUCCACUUUAAUUUAUUUUUAAUAUUUUUUCUCUUUUUGUUAAAAAGGUUGCUAUUUCCAGUUGUAUUUUUCACAGUUGGCUGUCAAGUUGGUCCCUACCACCCACUUGUGGGCGUUUCAGCUUUCAGGAUUUUUGCUCGAUACUGAAGUACUUUAUUUACCAUUUUUUUUAAAUUAUUGCAGUGAAUUGAAGAAAUGGUAAUUACAAGUUAAAAUUAAAAAGAAAAGUUUAAGUAAUUUUGAAAGCUUAUUUAUUCUGCCUCUAAUCGAGUGAAGAUGGAUUUAUUUAAAUACAGCUAAAUU
Long non-coding RNA from Parasteatoda tepidariorum (common house spider), 1389 nucleotides. Lineage: Eukaryota; Metazoa; Arthropoda; Arachnida; Araneae; Theridiidae. The record is from RefSeq and is a predicted model, not a curated record.